UCAAACUUGGUCAUUUAGAGGAAGUAAAAGUCGUAACAAGGUUUCCGUAGGUGAACCUGCGGAAGGAUCAUUGAAGAAUCUCCCGCGGUCGUCCGACCGUCGCUGGCCUCCACCGGGGCAUGUGCACGUCGGCGUCCGCUUUCCACCCCACACACAGUGCACCUUCGAGGGUCGGCCCCAUUUGGGACCCGAUCCCUCUUUUUCACCGCUAACGCGUGCAGCUUUGAAGUUUCCGAGAGCGCGAUCACGAUAACUCUUAACAACUUUCAACAAUGGAUCUCUUGGCUCUCGCAUCGAUGAAGAACGCAGC
RNAcentral lists this unclassified non-coding RNA (310 nucleotides) under uncultured fungus. RNAcentral's name for it is "partial contains small subunit ribosomal RNA, internal transcribed spacer 1, and 5.8S ribosomal RNA". The stretch from base 1 to 73 matches the Rfam family "Eukaryotic small subunit ribosomal RNA", at positions 1759 to 1831 of the family's 1831-position model. The record is from RNAcentral. Lineage: Eukaryota; Fungi.